RNAcentral lists this ribosomal RNA (484 nucleotides) under uncultured bacterium. RNAcentral describes it as "partial 16S ribosomal RNA". It matches the Rfam family "Bacterial small subunit ribosomal RNA", at positions 30 to 507 of the family's 1533-position model. The record is from RNAcentral.
AUCGAACGCUGGCGGCAUGCCUAACACAUGCAAGUCGAGCGGAGGAAGGCUGCUUGCUCCUGGAUUCAGCGUCGGACGGGUGCGUAAUGCUUAGGAAUCUGCCUGGUAGUGGGUAAUAACGUCCGGCAACGGGCGCUAAUACCGCAUACGUCCUGACGGUGUAAGUGGGGGAUCUUCGGACUUAACGCUAUCAGAUGAACCUAGGUCGGAUUAGCUAGCUGGUGGGGUAAAGGCCUACCAAGGCAACGAUCCAUAACUGGCCUGAGAGGAUGAUCAGUCACACUGGAACUGAGACACGGUCCAGACUCCUACGGGAGGCAGCAGUGGGGAAUAUUGGACAAUGGGCGAAAGCCUGAUGCAGCCAUGCCGCGUGUGUGAAGAAGGUCUUCGGAUUGUAAAGCACUUUAAGUUGGGAGGAAGGGCAGUAAGUUAAUAACUCGCUGUUUUGACGUUACCAACCGAAUAAGCAACGGCUAACUUCGUG